This 73-nucleotide transfer RNA is filed under the name Camelus ferus (Wild Bactrian camel). It matches the Rfam family "tRNA". Rfam says of the family: Transfer RNA (tRNA) molecules are approximately 80 nucleotides in length. Their secondary structure includes four short double-helical elements and three loops (D, anti-codon, and T loops). Lineage: Eukaryota; Metazoa; Chordata; Mammalia; Artiodactyla; Camelidae. The record is from Rfam by way of RNAcentral.
GAGGGUAUAGCUCAAGUGGUAGAGCGCAUGCUUAGCAUGCAUGAGGUCCUGGGUUCAAUCCCCAGUACCUCUU